AAAGAAGAUUUGAGAGCUGCUGCACUGAAGCACAGGAUGCUUUUGAGCUCUAUAAAAAUAAAGGUCCCAUGGAUGUGACAGGGCAGAGAGGAAGAUACAGGGGCACAGCAGUUAUACCCUACCUAAGCGUGUAUGUAGAUAGAGGAAGAAGAACGGCAACUAACAACCAGCUAAUUGCAGCGUGCGGGGCAGGGGGAGGAUGGCUGGGACCUAACUUGUCACCCAGUCGUGGACUCUGUGGAUGCCGUGCCGUGACGGAGGGCCGAGGGCUGAGCCGAGGAUUUGCAUGUAGGAGGAGAGGCGAUGGCCGUGCAGCGUGCACCCGAGGCUGCUCUCAGCCUGCUGAUGGCAUAUUUGGCAACAGAAUUUGGCAGAGCUGCAUCACAUUCAGUCUGAAAAUAUCCCUUUCUUGAUGAGUUCUGCAAAGCACUUUGAAGAGGUGGGAACCUUUUUUAAGGGAAGAAAAUUAAGUAGAAUAAACCCAAAAGGUCAACGGUAACA
Molecule: long non-coding RNA, 501 nt
Filed under: Phasianus colchicus (ring-necked pheasant)
Lineage: Eukaryota; Metazoa; Chordata; Aves; Galliformes; Phasianidae
Description: lncRNA (ENSPCLG00000000035.1)
Source: RNAcentral